RNAcentral lists this ribosomal RNA (519 nucleotides) under uncultured eukaryote. RNAcentral describes it as "SSU rRNA". It matches the Rfam family "Eukaryotic small subunit ribosomal RNA", at positions 1161 to 1704 of the family's 1831-position model. The record is from RNAcentral.
AGGGCACCACCAGGAGUGGAGCCUGCGGCUUAAUUUGACUCAACACGGGAAAACUCACCCGGCCCGGACACCGUAAGGAUUGACAGAUUGAGAGCUCUUUCUUGAUUCGGUGGGUGGUGGUGCAUGGCCGUUCUUAGUUGGUGGAGCGAUUUGUCUGGUUAAUUCCGAUAACGAACGAGACUCUAGCCUGCUAAAUAGGCAGUGGAUUAUUCGUCCACUGUACUUCUUAGAGGGACAAGCAGCGUCUAGCUGCACGAGAUUGAGCAAUAACGGGUCUGUGAUGCCCUUAGAUGUUCGGGGCUGCACGCGCGCUACACUGAAGGAAUCAACAUGCUUCUCAACCUUGGCCGGAAGGUCUAGGUAACCCGUUGAAACUCCUUCGUGAUUGGGAUAGGGAAUUGCAAUUAUUUCCCUUGAACGAGGAAUUCCCAGUAAGUGCGGGUCAUCAGCUCGCGCUGAUUACGUCCCUGCCCUUUGUACACACCGCCCGUCGCUACUACCGAUUGGAGGUAGAGCAGA